Molecule: long non-coding RNA, 530 nt
Filed under: Ananas comosus (pineapple)
Lineage: Eukaryota; Viridiplantae; Streptophyta; Magnoliopsida; Poales; Bromeliaceae
Description: long non-coding RNA (ACOM_LNC025364)
Source: RNAcentral
UUUUAAUUAAUUUAUAAUGUAAUUUUGAUUAAUUUAUUUAUUAACUUAUUAAAAUAUUAUUUACUAAUACUUAGGUGCUUAAUAUUUAGAUAAAUUAGUUUUAUUUUCAAUCAUAAUUACUCUUAUCCCUACUAUUCCAACCCAAUCAACCAAACGUAAUUUUUCUUAUUCCUCUAAAUAUCUCGAUGCUCGUCCAAACACAAAAUUGAACUAAUUCCUGCCUAUCACAAAAGUUACACCUAUCCCAAAAAUAAACAAAAAUUGGUUGUUCUCGAACCAAACGGUACCUAAAAGUCUAAAAUUUAAAAAAUAAUUAAUUAAUUCUGAAUUUGUCAUAAUCCACUAAAAAUAUAGAACUAAAGACAGAGAAAUUUUUUUUGGUUUAAUCCAUUCAAUCUACUAAAAAUUUAUCAAACAAUCGCUCCUGUCUCGACCAACCUCGAAUUAAGCAACAAGAGAAUGCAAAAUAUAGGAUAAAAAUUAAUUCAUUCUGAAUCCUUCCCCGGCCCUAAAUUUGUCUUAUUUGCAUC